GACGAACGCUGGCGGCGUGCUUAACACAUGCAAGUCGAACGGAAAGGCCCCCAUCUUGGUGGGGGUGCUCGAGUGGCGAACGGGUGAGUAACACGUGGGUGAUCUGCCCUGUACUUCGGGAUAAGCUUGGGAAACUGGGUCUAAUACCGGAUAGGACCAUGGUUUAGUGUCUCAUGGUGGAAAGAUUAUUGUUUUGGUGCAGGAUGAGCUCGCGGCCUAUCAGCUUGUUGGUGGGGUAAUGGCCUACCAAGGCGUCGACGGGUAGCCGGCCUGAGAGGGUGGACGGCCACAUUGGGACUGAGAUACGGCCCAGACUCCUACGGGAGGCAGCAGUGGGGAAUAUUGCGCAAUGGGCGCAAGCCUGAUGCAGCGACGCCGCGUGGGGGAUGACGGCCUUCGGGUUGUAAACUCCUUUCGUUAGGGACGAAGCCGCACUUUUUUUGGGUGUGGUGACGGUACCUUUGUUAAGAAGCACCGGCUAACUACGUG
Molecule: ribosomal RNA, 489 nt
Filed under: uncultured bacterium
Lineage: Bacteria
Description: partial 16S ribosomal RNA
Rfam family: Bacterial small subunit ribosomal RNA
Source: RNAcentral